UUAGAUACCCUGGUAGUCCACGCCGUAAACGAUGUCUACUUGGAGGUUGUGGCCUUGAGCCGUGGCUUUCGGAGCUAACGCGUUAAGUAGACCGCCUGGGGAGUACGGUCGCAAGAUUAAAACUCAAAUGAAUUGACGGGGGCCCGCACAAGCGGUGGAGCAUGUGGUUUAAUUCGACGCAACGCGAAGAACCUUACCUACCCUUGACAUCCAGAGAACUUUCCAGAGAUGGAUUGGUGCCUUCGGGAACUCUGAGACAGGUGCUGCAUGGCUGUCGUCAGCUCGUGUUGUGAAAUGUUGGGUUAAGUCCCGCAACG
Molecule: ribosomal RNA, 317 nt
Filed under: Curtobacterium sp. MCBA15_007
Lineage: Bacteria; Bacillati; Actinomycetota; Actinomycetes; Micrococcales; Microbacteriaceae
Description: bacterial SSU rRNA
Rfam family: Bacterial small subunit ribosomal RNA
Source: RNAcentral